This 181-nucleotide small RNA is filed under the name Gopherus agassizii (Agassiz's desert tortoise). Its description in RNAcentral is "TUC338 (ENSGAGG00000006574.1)". The record is from RNAcentral. Lineage: Eukaryota; Metazoa; Chordata; Testudines; Testudinidae.
UCCACAGCUCUGAAGUCCUCUAGUAAUUCACAGAGGAAACUCAACAUGGAUGUGCCAUACCCAUCACCAAUGCCCGUAACAAUUUCCCUGCCCACCCAGCGUGCCUCAGUCUUGACUUGGAGGGACCACCUCUAGGAACAAAGGAGGUCAGUCUCCAUGGCCCACUCAGUCUUUGCUCUCU